This 449-nucleotide ribosomal RNA is filed under the name uncultured bacterium. RNAcentral describes it as "partial 16S ribosomal RNA". It matches the Rfam family "Bacterial small subunit ribosomal RNA", at positions 355 to 821 of the family's 1533-position model. The record is from RNAcentral.
UGGGGGAUAUUGCACAAUGGAGGAAACUCUGAUGCAGCAACGCCGCGUGAAGGAUGAAGGUCUUCGGAUUGUAAACUUUUGUACUUGGGGACGAUAAUGACGGUACCCAAGCAGCAAGCUCCGGCUAACUACGUGCCAGCAGCCGCGGUAAUACGUAGGGAGCAAGCGUUGUCCGGAUUUACUGGGUGUAAAGGGUGCGUAGGCGGCUAUGCAAGUCAGUUGUGAAAACUAUGGGCUCAACCCAUAGCCUGCAAUUGAAACUGCGUGGCUUGAGUGAAGUAGAGGUAGGUGGAAUUCCCGGUGUAGCGGUGAAAUGCGUAGAGAUCGGGAGGAACACCAGUGGCGAAGGCGACCUACUGGGCUUUAACUGACGCUGAGGCACGAAAGCAUGGGUAGCAAACAGGAUUAGAUACCCUGGUAGUCCAUGCCGUAAACGAUGAUUACUAGGU